CGGGAAAAGGGAAAGGCUUAGUGGCGGACGGGUGAGUAACGCGUGGGUAACCUGGCCCAUACAGGGGGAUAACACUUAGAAAUAGGUGCUAAUACCGCAUAACAACAGAAAGCGCAUGCUUUUUGUUUGAAAACCAAGGUGGUAUGGGAUGGACCCGCGUCUGAUUAGCUGGUUGGCGGGGUAAAGGCCCACCAAGGCGACGAUCAGUAGCCGGCCUGAGAGGGUGGACGGCCACAUUGGGACUGAGACACGGCCCAAACUCCUACGGGAGGCAGCAG
Molecule: ribosomal RNA, 278 nt
Filed under: uncultured bacterium
Lineage: Bacteria
Description: partial 16S ribosomal RNA
Rfam family: Bacterial small subunit ribosomal RNA
Source: RNAcentral